AUGAAUAUCUUAUUUUAGAACUGCCGGGGGGUGGGGAACCGCCGGACAGUUCGAGAGGUUUUGGCCCUCGCAAAAGCCAAUUCCCCAAAGCUUGUAUUUCUAAGUGAAACAAGGCAAGCUUAUGACAAGAUUGGAAAGUUGAAGUGGCGUUUAGGAUUGAAAGGUUUUCAUGGUGUUUGCAGUGACGGUCGGAGUGGCGGCCUAGCAUUAUUUUGGGACGAGUCU
RNAcentral lists this ribosomal RNA (225 nucleotides) under Triticum aestivum (bread wheat). Its description in RNAcentral is "partial small subunit ribosomal RNA". Lineage: Eukaryota; Viridiplantae; Streptophyta; Magnoliopsida; Poales; Poaceae. The record is from RNAcentral.